Cricetulus griseus (Chinese hamster) is the source of this 601-nucleotide non-coding RNA. The record is from RefSeq and is a predicted model, not a curated record. Lineage: Eukaryota; Metazoa; Chordata; Mammalia; Rodentia; Cricetidae.
CCUGCCUGGGCCUCAGCCCCCCAAAGCUCCAGCCUCUUCAUGUGCUAGGGGAACUCCCCCAGGCCCAUCUGGCCUCUCCUGUGCUGAAAGGCCACAGAGUGACAGGCCAGAAACCUGACUCAGUGUUUAUUCACCAAACACUGAGAGGGCCCUCCUGAAUCUCUUCCCCACCCAAAGCCUCCCUACUUCGGGGGCAGGAGAGGGGACGGCACUGCCAUCUCCCAUGCUCAGCAUACCUGGUAUACUUGCCCCAGGAGAUUAGCCACAAGGAAAAGCAUGCAGGCUGCCCCCGACACAAGAGAAAAUCUGGUAAAACACAAGAAAGAACCACCACUGAGCAGCAUCAGCCAAGAGAAGAAUCCCACAUCCUGUGGAUUCCGGGAUUUACGGCUUGGUGAGGAGCCUCUGUGUCUCCUUGACAGGAAUUCCACCAUCAACUCAUCACCAAAGCGUCCUCAUCAACCUGGCUUUAAUCGCCUCCAAACCUGAUAAACAUCGGAGGAGGCUGUUCAUCCUUGGCAAAUUAUCUAAUCCACAUGUUGUUCAAUUUGUGUAAACCCCAGCCCACGAGGAUCAUAAAAUAAAUAAGCAUGAAAUGGUU